GAAAUGCGAUAAUUAAUGUGAAUUGCAGAAUUCAGUGAAUCAUCGAGUCUUUGAACGCACAUUGCGCCCCCUGGUAUUCCGGGGGGCAUGCCUGUCCGAGCGUCAUUGCUGCCCUCAAGCACGGCUUGUGUGUUGGGCUUCCGUCCCUGGCAACGGGGACGGGCCCAAAAGGCAGUGGCGGCACCAUGUCUGGUCCUCGAGCGUAUGGGGCUUUGUCACCCGCUCCAGUAGGUCCAGCUGGCAGCUAGCCUCGCAACCAAUCUUUUUAACCAGGUUGACCUCGGAUCAGGUAGGGAUACCCGCUGAACUUAAGC
RNAcentral lists this unclassified non-coding RNA (314 nucleotides) under plant metagenome. RNAcentral describes it as "partial contains 5.8S ribosomal RNA, internal transcribed spacer 2, and large subunit ribosomal RNA". The stretch from base 1 to 105 matches the Rfam family "5.8S ribosomal RNA", at positions 50 to 154 of the family's 154-position model. The record is from RNAcentral.